GUCGUUCGUGCACCUGUCCCCAAUGGAAGAAUGAGUGAUCUGUUCCCCUGCGGAUCAUGGCCUUACCACUCGGUCCCCGAUGGCCAGCGGGGGAUUCGGUAUAGCAGCUCAGGUUCGUUUGCGCUGCGCGUUCCCGCUGGACUGGACACAUGAUAGCUGUAGGAAGUAUGGUUCCGAAAGUGACUUCGGUUCGCCAGUUCACUUUCUUAGCUAGCCUAGCGUGUUAGAAACCUACAGGGAACAAGAGCCAGAUCGAAGACAUUCCUUUCAUUCUUUUAUACCCCUCUCUUCUUAGUUGCUCCUCUUUCUAGGGAUCUAAUGGUCGUAGACUACCUUCUUGUGACUAUGUUGAAGAAUUCUUUCCCCCCUUUGAGUUCUCGAGUGAAGGGUCCAAGCCAUAGGAAAAUAUCCAGUUUCUCUCGCAACAUA
RNAcentral lists this long non-coding RNA (429 nucleotides) under Nicotiana benthamiana. RNAcentral's name for it is "long non-coding RNA (NBEN_LNC027201)". Lineage: Eukaryota; Viridiplantae; Streptophyta; Magnoliopsida; Solanales; Solanaceae. The record is from RNAcentral.